UACGGAGGGUGCAAGCGUUGCUCGGAAUUAUUGGGCGUAAAGGGCAGGUAGGUGGUCUUAUUUGUCUGAUGUGAAAUCCUUGGGCUUAACUCAAGAAGUGCGUCAGAAACGGUAAGACUCGAGUCAAGGAGAGGUCAGCGGAAUUCCCGGUGUAGCGGUGAAAUGCGUAGAGAUCGGGAGGAACACCUGAGGCGAAGGCGGCUGACUGGACUUGUACUGACACUCAACUGCGAAAGCGUGGGGAGCAAACAGG
RNAcentral lists this ribosomal RNA (253 nucleotides) under uncultured bacterium. RNAcentral's name for it is "partial 16S ribosomal RNA". It matches the Rfam family "Bacterial small subunit ribosomal RNA", at positions 524 to 776 of the family's 1533-position model. The record is from RNAcentral.